GGCGUGCUUAACACAUGCAAGUCGAACGAUGAAGCCUUUCGGGGUGGAUUAGUGGCGAACGGGUGAGUAACACGUGGGCAAUCUGCCCUUCACUCUGGGACAAGCCCUGGAAACGGGGUCUAAUACCGGAUAACACUCCUGCAGGCAUCUGUGGGGGUUAAAAGCUCCGGCGGUGAAGGAUGAGCCCGCGGCCUAUCAGCUUGUUGGUGAGGUAGUGGCUCACCAAGGCGACGACGGGUAGCCGGCCUGAGAGGGCGACCGGCCACACUGGGACUGAGACACGGCCCAGACUCCUACGGGAGGCAGCAGUGGGGAAUAUUGCACAAUGGGCGAAAGCCUGAUGCAGCGACGCCGCGUGAGGGAUGACGGCCUUCGGGUUGUAAACCUCUUUCAGCAGGGAAGAAGCGAAAGUGACGGUACCUGCAGAAGAAGCGCCGGCUAACUACGUGCCAGCAGCCGCGGUAAUACGUAGGGCGCAAGCGUUGUCCGGAAUUAUUGGGCGUAAAGAGCUCGUAGGCGGUCUGUCGCGUCGGAUGUGAAAGCCCGGGGCUUAACCCCGGGUCUGCAUUCGAUACGGGCAGACUAGAGUGUGGUAGGGGAGAUCGGAAUUCCUGGUGUAGCGGUGAAAUGCGCAGAUAUCAGGAGGAACACCGGUGGCGAAGGCGGAUCUCUGGGCCAUUACUGACGCUGAGGAGCGAAAGCGUGGGGAGCGAACAGGAUUAGAUACCCUGGUAGUCCACGCCGUAAACGGUGGGAACUAGGUGUUGGCGACAUUCCACGUCGUCGGUGCCGCAGCUAACGCAUUAAGUUCCCCGCCUGGGG
RNAcentral lists this ribosomal RNA (822 nucleotides) under Pseudomonadota bacterium. Its description in RNAcentral is "bacterial SSU rRNA". It matches the Rfam family "Bacterial small subunit ribosomal RNA", at positions 41 to 878 of the family's 1533-position model. Lineage: Bacteria; Pseudomonadati; Pseudomonadota. The record is from RNAcentral.